AUUGAACGCUGGCGGCAUGCCUUACACAUGCAAGUCGAACGGUAACAGGUCUUCGGAUGCUGACGAGUGGCGAACGGGUGAGUAAUACAUCGGAACGUGCCUAGUAGUGGGGGAUAACUACUCGAAAGAGUGGCUAAUACCGCAUGAGAUCUACGGAUGAAAGCAGGGGAUCGCAAAACCUUGUGCUACUAGAGCGGCCGAUGGCAGAUUAGGUAGUUGGGGGGAUAAAAGCUUACCAAGCCGACGAGCUGUAGCUGGUCUGAGAGGACGAUCGGCCACACUGGGACUGAGACACGGCCCAGACUCCUACGGGAGGCAGCAGUGGGGAAUUUUGGACAAUGGGCGAAAGCCUGAUCCAGCAAUGCCGCGUGCAGGAUGAAGGCCUUCGGGUUGUAAACUGCUUUUGUACGGAACGAAAAGCCCCGGGUUAAUACCCUGGGGUCAUGACGGUACCGUAAGAAUAAGCACCGGCUAACUACGUGCCAGCAGCCGCGGUAA
This 498-nucleotide ribosomal RNA is filed under the name uncultured bacterium. RNAcentral describes it as "partial 16S ribosomal RNA". It matches the Rfam family "Bacterial small subunit ribosomal RNA", at positions 30 to 523 of the family's 1533-position model. The record is from RNAcentral.